This 513-nucleotide ribosomal RNA is filed under the name Cyclodius paumotensis. RNAcentral's name for it is "partial 16S ribosomal RNA". It matches the Rfam family "Bacterial large subunit ribosomal RNA", at positions 1838 to 2594 of the family's 2925-position model. Lineage: Eukaryota; Metazoa; Arthropoda; Malacostraca; Decapoda; Xanthidae. The record is from RNAcentral.
UGAAGGUGUAAAUGGUCUGGCCUGCUCACUGAUAAAAUUAUUUAAGAGCCGCGGUAUAUUGACCGUGCAAAGGUAGCAUAAUCAUUAGAGGUUUAAUUGGAAUCUAGAAUGAAGGGUCUGACAAAGGAAAAACUGUCUGUAAAAUAUAAUUUGAAGUUUACCUUUAAGUGAAAAGGCUUAAAUAAAUCAAAGGGACGAUAAGACCCUAUAAAGCUUUAUAAAAAAUUUAAAUUUGACUAAUUUAAAACAUAAAUGUUAAACUUAAUUGUUUUAUUUUGUUGGGGUGAUGUGAGUAUAAUUGUGAUUAACUGCUUAUAAAAUUUUCUUUUAUAAGAGAUUUGUUUUUGAAUAAAUGAUCCUUUUUAAAGAUUUAAAGAUUAAGUUACUUUAGGGAUAACAGCGUUAUUUCUCUUGAGAGUUCAUAUCGAAAGAGGAGAUUGCGACCUCGAUGUUGAAUUAAAAUAUCUAUAUAGUGCAGCCACUAUAAAAGAGGGUCUGUUCGACCUUUAAAUU